AUACGGAGGGUGCAAGCGUUAUUCGGAAUCACUGGGCGUAAAGGACGCGUAGGCGGGUUGGCAAGUCAGAUGUGAAAUCCUACAGCUUAACUGUAGAACUGCAUUUGAAACUGCUAACCUAGAGUAUGGGAGGGGGAGAUGGAAUUAGUGGUGUAGGGGUAAAAUCCGUAGAUAUCACUAGGAAUACCGAAAGCGAAGGCGAUUUCCUGGAACAUAACUGACGCUAAGGCGUGAAAGCGUGGGGAGCAAACAGGAGUAGAAACCCUAGUAGUCC
This 274-nucleotide ribosomal RNA is filed under the name uncultured bacterium. RNAcentral's name for it is "partial 16S ribosomal RNA". It matches the Rfam family "Bacterial small subunit ribosomal RNA", at positions 523 to 796 of the family's 1533-position model. The record is from RNAcentral.